RNAcentral lists this long non-coding RNA (1447 nucleotides) under Sinocyclocheilus grahami. Its description in RNAcentral is "lncRNA (ENSSGRG00000013756.1)". The record is from RNAcentral. Lineage: Eukaryota; Metazoa; Chordata; Actinopteri; Cypriniformes; Cyprinidae.
CGGGCCUGUGCAUGAGCCAUUUUGAAAGUGAAAGUAGGCUCUUCUUAUUUAUGCGCUCGCGCAGCAGAGAGAGUCAGAGUGGAAGAACUCAGACGCUGAAGACGCAGAGCAAUAACGCUCUCUGAAUGGGAAAUUAUCUCCUUUACUAUCAUCAUUAACCAACUACGGGCAAAUCUUCAAAAUCACAACCAUGAAUGCUGAAAAAGCUGUGCAACUGUUCAUUCUGGUUUGGACCUUUACUGCUCUCUGUCAAGCUGAUGAACAUGUCAUUGCAAGCUGUGAUGAUGUGACUGGAUCUGUGGGGAAAGAAGUAACUCUCACCUGCAGUGUCUCUCUUCUGCUCACUGAAUGCUGCAUUGUAAAUUAUAAGUUUCAAUACCCUGAGAGCUUUAAUGACUCCGUAAUCUGUCAAGAUUUUCCUGUGAACUCCUGUGAACUGAGGAAAAGCUUCCCAUGCCGCUACACUCCAACUACAGCAAUGACAGAACAAUUCAGAUUCUUCCUGCAAACAAAUUGUGGAACGAGAAGCACAAAUUUCACUGUGGGCAUAGCAGGUACUGCAUGUUGUUUAUAAUGCAAUAAAUGUUUGCAAUUUUUUGCCAUGUUUAUGGCUUAAUUGUUGCCUGAUCAUGGUUUUUAAAUAGUAACGCAGCUCUCAAGAUAUUUCAAUCAGUUAUUUUUAGAAAUGUGUGAAAUCAGUUUGAUCAGAUGUGUCUGCAUUCUGAUAGGCCGAAGAUGAGUUUAUUAUUUAAACAGUAAUUAAAACAGUUUAAUUGCUUUUUUCCUAGCUCCAAGAAAAGCUGAGGAUCCUCAAUCUAAGUAUGCUAUCAUUGCUGUGGGCUGCUGCAUCAUCCUCAUCAUCAUCACAGUAACAAUCAUUUGGAGUCCGACUCUCUAACCUAAUGGUUAGAGAGUCGGACUCAUAACCCAAAGGUUGUGGGUUCGAGUCUCGUACCGGCAGGGAUUGUAGGUGGGGGGAGUGAAUGUACAGCACUCUCUCCCACCUUCAAUACCACGACUGAGGUGCCCUUGAGCAAGGCACCGAACCCCCAACUGCUCCCCGGGCGCCGCAGCAUAAAUGGCUGCCCACUGCUCCGGGUGUGUGUUCACGGUUUGUGUGUGUUCACUGCUGUGUGUGUGCACUUUGGAUGGGUAAAUGCAGAGCACUAAUUCUGAGUAUGGGUCACCAUACUUGGCCACAUGUCACAUCACUUUACUUUCACUCACUUUAUAAAACAAAACCAAACUUCACCAAACUUUCUGGAUCCCAGAACAGGAUGUGUCUGGUUGUCAAACAUGAUGAGGACAGAAGCGUUCAUCCAGAAGAUAUGAUAUAAUAGCAUUGACUCAGCAGUAUGAAACUAAUGACUUAUGUCUGAUUUUCCCUGUGGUGCUCACAAAAGACACAAGCUUGAUUAUAUCUUAAACUUAAUAUAUAACUCUGGCU